AUGAUAAAAAAUAGUAUUGAAAAUGGUAAAGUGAAAGUUUUGUGUGUUGAUUAUGGGUUUGUCAUAGCAUUGAAACUGAUCAAAGAUCAGCUCAUGCUCGAAACGCAUCCAGAGAAAGGCCAGCGUCAUGAUGAAGCUUGGCCUGGGAUGAAUUUGCCUCAAUAUGCUCUUGCACACUACGACAAACUUGUACCCCGUUACGUAGUAUGUGUCCCUGUAGAGGAGCCAACACAUAUAUACUUCUAUGCCACAACUUCUAUUCAUGCAUAUACAUGUACUGCUGUGCUGGUAAAUUCCUAUUUUGUGCGUUAUAAACAUAAUGCAUGUAAAAACAAUCUUGACUUAUCAGGCCUAUUAAACAGGACGGAGGAAACUGAUUCAAACCUGAAUUGA
Molecule: ribosomal RNA, 393 nt
Filed under: Triticum aestivum (bread wheat)
Lineage: Eukaryota; Viridiplantae; Streptophyta; Magnoliopsida; Poales; Poaceae
Description: partial small subunit ribosomal RNA
Source: RNAcentral